This 334-nucleotide unclassified non-coding RNA is filed under the name Erigeron annuus. RNAcentral describes it as "partial ITS2". Lineage: Eukaryota; Viridiplantae; Streptophyta; Magnoliopsida; Asterales; Asteraceae. The record is from RNAcentral.
AAGUAUCGCAUUUUGCUACGUUCUUCAUCGAUGCGUGAGCCGAGAUAUCCGUUGCCGAGAGUCGUUUGUGAUUACAAAGAUGCCACACCCCAUGAGCACACCGCGAACGGGACUUCAUUGGGAUGGGCAAUUCUUCAGUUUAAAGUUCCUUGGCACAUCCCGUGCCUGGGUUUUGUUACGUCAAAGCAACCACUCAAGAUGACCCACUGGGCCAACGAGGCAGGCACAUCAACGGUAUGCCAGGACGACUCAAACGGAUGCUCAAUACAUCCUGGCAUGAUUGUUUUAACAUGUUCGCGGGUCGUUCUGCUUUGCAGGGCUUCGACAAUGAUCC